GUUGUUUAGAAGGAUUGCAAAAGCAAACUGAGUUAUUGCACACGCUUACUUCACAGAAUAGGCUUUUUCCCUAAUGGAAAUAGCCAGAGACAUGCUAGAACGCACACUCAUACAAUAGCGCUCUGAAAUCGGAGUAUAUAGCCAGAGCCAAUUUACGAAUCAUUUGUUUUUAUUGGAAACGACAGGCUGGGGUCUAGCUUGGUUUAGUUAAAAAUAUAUAUUUGGUGCAAGUGUCAGUAGCAUCUUUGGCGCCCCCUGACAACGGUGAGUCAAAGACAUUUCUGGUUGCGACAACAAAUCAAAAAACUGUAACCCAACAAGUAACCAAUAAUUGCACUCAUCAACCAAUCUGAGACGCCUGUGCAACCAAGAUGUACCCAAUAAUUGAUCAAUAAGAAAAGAGUUAUAGAAUUGACCGGAACUAGAAGAGGAGCGUCUCUUCUCUGUCUCUACCGUGAACAUUUAAUUAAUCUGUAACGUUUUUAAACUUUAGCGGCUUAUGUUAUCAUUUUCUGAAAUCAGAAGUUUUGUUGUCUGCUGUUUUCGAUUGGAAUAUCUAGUAGUAGCAGAAUAUAUGGAGUAGCCACUCUUUAAAAAGAUGCCAGAUGACACCAGCUUCUACAGAUGCACCAUUGAGAGCAUCCUGUCUCGCUACAUCACCGCCUGUGAAGGCAGCUGCACUGGAAGAUGACCAAGGACUUCAGCCAAGGCCUGUUAUAUCCUCUUCCGUCUGGCAGACGGUAACACAGCAUCCACCACCAGGCCAUAAGACUGUUGAAGGGCCUAGCUAUCCACCUGUACAACCUGCUGUUCACCUGCAUCUUUAGAGACUAUUUCCACGGACUCUCUCACAGUAUUGCUUCCAUCCCUCUCCUUGCCCUAACCUGGGCUCGAGCCAGGGACCCAUUGAACACAUCGACAACUUGUCACCAACAAAGCAUCGUUACCUAUCGCUCACUCACUCCCAUCACUGCGGUUAUUAUUUAUUACUAUUUAUUUGUACUGCUCACUUUCUACUUGUUGCCAUAGCACAUUUCACCGUACAUACCGUUACUGCUAGUUUUACUCCUACUUUUAUACCUAUAUUUGUUUACCACUUGCCUUACUGUGUUAUUGUUUUAUUUUUUAUAUUUUGAUAUUUCACUGCACUGUUGAGAGGUAUCCCAAUAAUGGACUAAAGGAGACAAAUGUUACUCCUUAUAGUCCAAGGACCUUACAUGUUCUGUUUAAAAUGUGAAUUGGCUCUGUAAGCCAAAACAGACAAUUACUCCAUCUAAACAUAAAUUGAUUCUCAAUUGUUGUACAGUUCUAGACACAUCAAAUCAUUUAAAAAAUGCAAAAUACACACUGUUUUAAUCAGAUUUAACACAGUUGCAGCCAACAGUAUUUUUCAGUGACAACAUGUUUGUGGUGUACACACAGGUAUUAGGAGACGGAGGCAGCUACUUAGAACUGUCACGCCUGCUCCCGCUCUCCCUCUCUCUGGCGCUGCCUAUCUUUACGCACACCUGUCCCCUUCGUUACACGCACCAGCGCCUCAUUGGACCCACCUGAACUCUAUUAUUAUUAUUAUUAUUAUUAUUAUUUGAUUGCCUUCCCUUCAUCUGUCUGUUCCUCACGUUAUUCCCUGUGUCAGCAUUGAUUUCGUUACUUUGUCCUGUCCAGACGCUGGUCCUGUCCUGUUUUAUUUCUGUAGUUGAUUAAAUGUUCUCCCUGUACCUGC
This is a long non-coding RNA of Oncorhynchus tshawytscha (Chinook salmon), 1723 nucleotides long. The record is from Ensembl. NCBI's taxonomy places the organism in Eukaryota, Metazoa, Chordata, Actinopteri, Salmoniformes, Salmonidae.